Molecule: long non-coding RNA, 427 nt
Organism: Eleginops maclovinus (Patagonian blennie)
Lineage: Eukaryota; Metazoa; Chordata; Actinopteri; Perciformes; Eleginopidae
Exons: 3
Source: RefSeq, a predicted model, not a curated record
GGCGUGUCUUUCCCCGGAAACGGAAGUGGAAAUGUUUGAAGGGUGCAGUGCGGCGUGGCGGGAGCGGAGGAUCGUUAUUGAAUUACCGACUGAAUACUUUGAGAAAGCUGUGUGUUUUUGAAAGCAACUUUACGUGGAAUGGAACAGAUGCUGCUCAUUCAGUGGGAGUGUUUGAGGCUGUGGUAACGAUACCGAUGUCAGGACGCUCACAGCGAGGACUACACAACGACAAAAUGAGGGAGGUUCAUGUUGUUAUUGUCUUCUGGUUGUCGAGGUUACCUUGCAAUGUUUGUCAAUAACAACAUUGGAAUAUUUCAAUGCUUUGUUGCAUGUUCUCCCUUAAUACAAUAUGGUUGAAAUGAUGUGUAAAGUCAAUAACAAUGAUCCAAUGACUUGUAUUAAAGACGUUAUUUAUUUUAACACCUGA